UUUCAAGUAGGAACUAGCUUCCUGAUUUCACUUUCUUUCCUCUUGUGAUCUGAUUCUCUUUAUGAAUAAGGGCUUCAUCACUCUUCAUUCUUAUAUGACUGCAAGAUUUUUCACUGUAGCCAACUGAUGGCCACACAAGACAUCCUGUGAGCUUGUCCUGACCAUUUCUCAGCUGAAGGUGGGGUGAAGUGGUGGAGAUUCUCCAGCAUGCUUGGCAGCCAGCUUGGAGGUUGCUGUUUGCAAGAGAAGGGAAUGUGCCAGCUUUUGCAGAUCUGUACUUGCAGGAGAAGACCUAGACCUGUGAGGCAGCACCCUACCAUCCGGCUCCUGGCUGGCACCCAGACGCUAUGUGCAGACCAUGGCAGAACUACUUGGUGUGAUACCACAGCUCUCCUGCUCAGUCAGUUGAAAUAA
Molecule: long non-coding RNA, 414 nt
Filed under: Chloebia gouldiae (Gouldian finch)
Lineage: Eukaryota; Metazoa; Chordata; Aves; Passeriformes; Passeridae
Description: Erythrura gouldiae (Gouldian finch) lncRNA (ENSEGOG00005011450.1)
Source: RNAcentral